GCGGAUAAAACCUUUAUCUAAGAGUUCCUGAAGUUGUUUAUGUAACUCUGCUAAUUCUACUCCUCCCAUUCUAUAAGGAGUAAUAGAAAUAGGUUGUGUGUCAAGCAUAGGAUCAAUAGAGAACUCUAUUUUAAUCUAAAUGGUCAAGGCACCAUUACAACCCAUCUUUGCUUAUCAGUAGUAUAUCCCUAAAGUAUCCCUACUCAACAUAAAGCAACAAGUAAUUCUCAUUCCAAGGUAUGUUUAACUGCACAUCUGUUAACAACCAUUUAUAUAUAUAUAUACACCAUUCCCUUGUAAGGUUCAAUCAUCAUGUUCUAUAUAAUCCGGAAAGAAAAGAAAGUACCCAUAAUACAAGUAUAUCAACUCAAUUUUGUGUGUGUUUGUGAAAGUAUAAUCAUGUGUUAUCACUCUCAGCACUCUUUGUGACCUUUAUAUGUUGGGAUCUGUUAUUGAUAAUUCUUGUUUUUAUUCCUACUUCACCAGAUCUGUAAUAAAAAUAGUAAUGAGCUACACAUAUCCACUAAAUCAAAUUUAGAAUUGAAAACUAGCGAGAUGAAAUUAGUAUCACCUGUAUUCAAGAAUUACUCUCACUAUACUCCCACUCCAACAACCCUUAUUCACCCACUUCUGUUAAACUUCUAGAAUUUCUCUGCCCUCGGUUUUUGUUAAUAUAACACACUUACACCUGAACCAAUCUCAUAAUGGAGCCUUUGUAUUCCCUACAAUCUCUCUUCCCAGGAUAUACUCUCCACUAUCACUAAAGUUAUAUUUUGUCUCUGCCCAUACCUGACGACUCCUUAAAUUCACUUCUAGCCAAUCCCCUCCUAGUACUAAUAUCCCAUUCACAGUAGACUUUGAAUCUCAUACGCCUAUAUUAACACCCCACCCACAACAUACUUUAAAUCUCAUAUAUACAAAAUUAACAACCCACUCACACAGACUUUAAAUGUUAUUUAUCCAUAAUUAUACUCAAAACUCACAUAUUCUACAUAGCAAAGUACCAGUGCAUUACCAGAACAAAUACACACCACACGACCCAAAAACGGGCCACACAUGCAGCUCCCAUUGGAGCGCACAAUUCUGGAAAUAAAAUGGAAAAUAGAAAUUCAAAUGUAAAACACAUAUUUAUUAUGCACAUUUCGACCACUGGGUGGCCACUCACCCACACAUAUCUGUUCCACCCGUCAGAACCAGGAAUUAUCUCCCUAGAUUUUGGUUUCUUUCACUAUUUUUAUUUUUCUACAUACACCCACAAGAUUUCUCUAUGUUUUGCUUUCCCGUUCUUUUACCUAUUUUCUAUCCAUCAUUCUUAGCCCUUUGUCAUUUCCCUUACUUGUUGCCCUCACUGUCUGAAGAUCUGUCUCCCAUUUUCUGCUAUCUGCACCUUUCUCUCUUCAUUUUCUCAAAUCCUAUAGUCAAGUCUAAAUUAGGGUGUGUUUAGCUCCCACUUCUACUCCUAUUUUUCUUCUUCUCGUCUUAAUUCUACCAAACUAUUUAGCAAUUUCACCUUGAACUUUCACCCAAACUCCCAACUAUUUUCUGGAUAAUACAACUUCCUCUCCCUAACCCCUCUAAUAUAUCAUUCUCCACGUACACUCUUUCUUUAUUCCUUAUUUCUCUCUCUCUCUCUCUCUCUCUCUCUCUCUUUUUGCGAGAACAUUUUCACUAUUUCGUUUUCCUUAACUCCUAGUAAACAUACAUCAUAUCUGAUACAAGAAUUGAAUGUACAAAUCUCAAAUUCAGGGUUGGAAUUUAAAUUUGUCUUACCUCUUGCUCCCGAAUGGGUUUUCAUUUUCAGUAAUAGUCUUCUUCGGACCCUUCUCAUCCUUGCUGAUUUUCGAUGAAAAUUCCUCCUUCUAAUCCUCUGUAAAUCAUUAUGCCCAUCCUCUCUCCGAUCAACCUCCUAUCUCUCACUCCCUCUCGGCCUCUCUCAAUGCAGCUUGCCUCCUCUUUUAUACUAGGUUCAAAAGAUCGUAGCCGUUGAAAGAAUUUAUGUCAUCCCAAUCGUCCAUCGUAGGAUCUAUUAAUCUGUACCGUUUGAGAUGCUUGGUCAACACCACUUAGACUCAUUUGAGUUAUUCUUCACUCUGGUGAAGUGUUCACCUACACACAUGGCAGAGUCUGAUUGGCUCUCUAGCUCAAUGACUUACAUGUUUGCUUUUUGGGCCUUUAUAAU
Molecule: long non-coding RNA, 2179 nt
Filed under: Carica papaya (papaya)
Lineage: Eukaryota; Viridiplantae; Streptophyta; Magnoliopsida; Brassicales; Caricaceae
Description: long non-coding RNA (CPAP_LNC001153)
Source: RNAcentral